Molecule: unclassified non-coding RNA, 1577 nt
Filed under: Nilaparvata lugens (brown planthopper)
Lineage: Eukaryota; Metazoa; Arthropoda; Insecta; Hemiptera; Delphacidae
Description: zinc finger protein 2, transcript variant X3
Source: RNAcentral
GUCUUGUUUUGAUUUUGAUAAGGUUAGAUUUAGGUUGAUCUUGGUUUUGAUUUUAGUUUAGGUUAUCAGUUUGUUUCAAAAAAUUUAGCUCUGAAAAUAUUAUUUUAUACAUUAACUGAUCAAGUUAUAUAACAAUAACUUUGUUACUAGUUGGUAUCCAAAAAAAUUAUUGAAUAAUUACUUCUUUACAAUAAUAAAUUAUGCAUAGUAGUCAACGAAGAAAGCAAAUCUUCCGUAUCAGGCAGGGGUUUACCAAUGAUGUAGAUGACAUUAUUAUUGAACCAGUUUUUUUUGGCUCGGGAACCAGAGAGGACUCAGAAACAGAAACAGAAACGACUAGUCAAUUGAGACUUGUGAGAAAAGAACCGAAGAAACUUUAUAAAACAAGCGAAUUCAUUUGUAAGUAUUGUAAAUUCAAUGCUUUAUCGGCGAUAAAGUUGGGAAAGCAUCUUCGAAAUGAGCAUAAAGACGAACUGCCUUACGAAUGUAAUUUGUGCGACGUGAAAUUCGUACGCAACAAACAUUUGCUGUCACACCUGAGGUCUCACGAGGAAGGGAAGGCGUUUCUGUGUGACGUGUGCGGCCACAAAUGGGCCACUUCGCGACUAUUGGACCAGCAUCUGAUGAGACACUCGGGCCACAAGCCGCACUUCUGCACUGUGUGUGACUUCAGGUGUGUGCGCAAACAAAGCCUGUUCUACCACAUGCGUACGCACACGGGCGAGCGACCAUUCCACUGCGACCUGUGCGACUUCAAGUCGGUCAACACGUCCAAUCUCAAAGUGCAUCGGCUCACACAUUCCAAGGAAACUCCUUUCGUUUGUAACAUGUGUAAUCUGACGUUCAGCCGGCUUUAUCAUCUGAAACGACACCAGCGAUCGCAUCUAGCUGAGAGACGCUACUUCUGUGACCAGUGCAGUGCCAAGUUCCUUCGAGCUGAUCACCUGAAGAGACAUAAAGCGAGACACUUGCAACAAGAGCUCAAAUCUAGGAAACAGCAGACAACUGAAACAGUGACUGAACUUAGAAAAUGCCGUAGAAAAACAUUGAGCGACUACUCGCAACAAGAGUUCAUACCAAGGAACCAGCAGACAACUGAAACAGUGACUGAACUUAGAAGAUCUAGCCGUAUAAAAACAUUGAGCAACUAAACAUCACAUCACCUAAUUAUUAUUACUCCACUUAAAAAUGUAGUGUUGUUUUUGAACUUGUGGUGAAUAAUAAUAUUUCCAAGAUUUUGCUGACAAUAAAAAGAGGAGUUCACUUUUCAAGUGUGACAAAUUAUUCGGGAGAUACCAUUGUUGAACACACGGAGAGUGAUCGUACUUUGCAGAAAUCUUCAAUCGAUAGUCUUAAUGCAAAAACUGUUUUGAAUAAUGUUGAUGAAUACACUGAAGUAGAGAAUGAUCUUUUAAUGACUUUGAAAACACGUUCCGAAAAAAUGACAACAAUUAGCAAUUUGAUAGAGAAGAUGCGCGAAAAAAUGAAACAGAGAGUUUCAGUUUGAAAUGGGUUAACAUUUUGUUUUUGGUACUUACUGUUCAGAAAUGAAAUUAAACUUUGCUGUGUCAAGUUUA